AUUGAACGCUGGCGGAAUGCUUUACACAUGCAAGUCGAACGGUAAGGCCCUUCGGGGUACACGAGUGGCGAACGGGUGAGUAACACGUGGGUGAUCUGCCCUGCGCUUCGGGAUAAGCCUGGGAAACUGGGUCUAAUACCGGAUAGGACCACUGCCUGCAUGGGUGGUGGUGGAAAGCUUUUGCGGUGUGGGAUGGGCCCGCGGCCUAUCAGCUUGUUGGUGGGGUGAUGGCCUACCAAGGCGACGACGGGUAGCCGGCCUGAGAGGGUGACCGGCCACACUGGGACUGAGAUACGGCCCAGACUCCUACGGGAGGCAGCAGUGGGGAAUAUUGCACAAUGGGCGCAAGCCUGAUGCAGCGACGCCGCGUGAGGGAUGACGGCCUUCGGGUUGUAAACCUCUUUCAGCACCGACGAAGCGCAAGUGACGGUAGGUGCAGAAGAAGGACCGGCCAACUACGUGCCAGCCGCCGCCGUAA
Molecule: ribosomal RNA, 478 nt
Filed under: uncultured bacterium
Lineage: Bacteria
Description: partial 16S ribosomal RNA
Rfam family: Bacterial small subunit ribosomal RNA
Source: RNAcentral